AAAAACUCGCCGAGCCAUAUUAAAAGACAGUUAACAGGUUUUAAUUGGAAAAUAUACGCGUAUAAUAAUUUAUAUAAUUAUUUUAAACAACUUCCUUUAUUCCAAGGAUGCAGAUAUUUGUAGUUAAAACCACAGUAUUUGUCAAGGGCUGCUGGUACCCUUAGCUUCGUUCAACCAAGGUCAAUCGCUCUUAGCGGCAGGUGUGCGCCAAUACUACAUUCAGCGCGACAGCCUGCCUCUGAAGUCACUUUUUUCCUAUCGGAGGCACGCGACAGUUGAGCUCUUCGAACAGAUAAAGCAUCUUAAAAGCGGAUCUGUUUAAAAACAUGCAUGAAAUUUGCAUUAUUGCAAGAUGAUGCGCAUAUUUCACGUGGAAACAACGGCCCAACCCCUAGAAUAAAUCACAGACUACUUUCAAUUUAUAUUGUUGUAGCUGACGUUAGAAUUUUUAAUGAUCGGAGAGAGAGAGGCUUUUGACGCUCCUUUGCUUUACAUCAGAAUAUUUUUUUUUUUCUUUCCUUCCUUUCUUUCUUUCUUUCUCUCUUUCCUUCCCCCUUUUCCUUUUUGCAGCACAUCACGUAUGCUAUCAAACACAACUAACUUUAAUUUUAAAAAUGGAUCUGAGAUUGCAC
RNAcentral lists this long non-coding RNA (632 nucleotides) under Androctonus crassicauda. The record is from RNAcentral. Lineage: Eukaryota; Metazoa; Arthropoda; Arachnida; Scorpiones; Buthidae.